UACAGACUCCUACGGGAGGCAGCAGUGGGGAAUAUUGCACAAUGGGGGAAACCCUGAUGCAGCGACGCCGCGUGAGCGAUGAAGUAUUUCGGUAUGUAAAGCUCUAUCAGCAGGGAAGAAAAUGACGGUACCUGACUAAGAAGCCCCGGAUAAGUACGUGCCAGCAGCAGCGGUAAUACGUAGGGGGCAAGCGAUAUCCGGAUUUACUGGGUGUAAAGGGAGCGUAGACGGCGGUGCAAGCCAGAUGUGAAAGCCCGGGGCUCAACCCCGGGACUGCAUUUGGAACUGUGUUGCUAGAGUGUCGGAGAGGCAGGCGGAAUUCCUAGUGUAGCGGUGAAAUGCGUAGAUAUUAGGAGGAACACCAGUGGCGAAGGCGGCCUGCUGGACGAUGACUGACGUUGAGGCUCGAAAGCGUGGGGAGCAAACAGGAUUAGAUACCCUUGUA
This 445-nucleotide ribosomal RNA is filed under the name uncultured bacterium. RNAcentral's name for it is "partial 16S ribosomal RNA". It matches the Rfam family "Bacterial small subunit ribosomal RNA", at positions 330 to 792 of the family's 1533-position model. The record is from RNAcentral.